This 468-nucleotide ribosomal RNA is filed under the name uncultured bacterium. RNAcentral's name for it is "bacterial SSU rRNA". It matches the Rfam family "Bacterial small subunit ribosomal RNA", at positions 31 to 507 of the family's 1533-position model. The record is from RNAcentral.
GAACGCUGGCGGCAGGCCUAACACACGCAAGUCGAGCGGGGUUUCGGACCUAGCGGCGGACGGGUGAGUAAUGCGUAGGAAGCUACCCGAUAGAGGGGGAUACCAGUUGGAAACGACUGUUAAUACCGCAUAAUGUCUACGGACCAAAGUGUGGGACCUUCGGGCCACAUGCUAUCGGAUGCGCCUACGUGGGAUUAGCUAGUUGGUGGGGUAAUGGCUCACCAAGGCGACGAUCCCUAGCUGGUUUGAGAGGAUGAUCAGCCACACUGGAACUGAGACACGGUCCAGACUCCUACGGGAGGCAGCAGUGGGGAAUAUUGGACAAUGGGCGCAAGCCUGAUCCAGCCAUGCCGCGUGUGUGAAGAAGGCCUUCGGGUUGUAAAGCACUUUCAGCGAGGAGGAAGGGUUAGUAGUUAAUAGCUGCUAAUUUUGACGUUACUCGCAGAAGAAGCACCGGCUAACUCUGUG